UAGAAAAGCCAUACCACCCUGAACGUGCCUGAUCUUGUAAGCUUAGCAGGGUCGGGCCUGGUUUGUACUUGGACGGGUGAUUUGAGUUUUGGUAAUGUUUCUUU
This is a ribosomal RNA of Cricetulus griseus (Chinese hamster), 104 nucleotides long. Lineage: Eukaryota; Metazoa; Chordata; Mammalia; Rodentia; Cricetidae. The record is from Ensembl.